GGGCCCGCACAAGCAGUGGAGCAUGUGGUUUAAUUCGAUGCAACGCGAAGAACCUUACCAGGCCUUGACAUCCUCGGAACUUUCUAGAGAUAGAUUGGUGCCUUCGGGAACCGAGUGACAGGUGCUGCAUGGCUGUCGUCAGCUCGUGUCGUGAGAUGUUGGGUUAAGUCCCGUAACGAGCGCAACCCUUGUCCUUAGUUGCCAGCACAUUAUGGUGGGAACUCUAAGGUGACUGCCGGUGACAAACCGGAGGAAGUGGGGAUGACGUCAAAUCAUCAUGCCCCUUAUGACCUGGGCUACACACGUGCUACAAUGGACGGUACAAAGGGCUGCAAACCCGCGAGGGGGAGCCAAUCCCAGAAAACCGUUCUCAGUUCGGAUUGCAGGCUGCAACUCGCCUGCAUG
RNAcentral lists this ribosomal RNA (405 nucleotides) under uncultured bacterium. RNAcentral describes it as "bacterial SSU rRNA". It matches the Rfam family "Bacterial small subunit ribosomal RNA", at positions 917 to 1322 of the family's 1533-position model. The record is from RNAcentral.